Molecule: ribosomal RNA, 362 nt
Filed under: uncultured bacterium
Lineage: Bacteria
Description: bacterial SSU rRNA
Rfam family: Bacterial small subunit ribosomal RNA
Source: RNAcentral
GUAGGGGGCAAGCGUUGUCCGGAUUUAUUGGGCGUAAAGAGCGUGUAGGCGGCCAUGUAGGUCCGUUGUGAAAACUCGAGGCUCAACCUCGAGACGCCGAUGGAAACCAUGUGGCUAGAGUCCGGAAGAGGAGAGUGGAAUUCCUGGUGUAGCGGUGAAAUGCGCAGAUAUCAGGAAGAACACCCGUGGCUAAGGCGGCUCUCUAGUACGGUACUGACGCUGAGACGCGAAAGCGUGGGGAGCGAACAGGAUUAGAUACCCUGGUAGUCCACGCCGUAAACGAUGGGUGCUAGGUGUAGGGGGUGUCGACUCCCUCUGUGCCGAAGCUAACGCAUUAAGCACCCCGCCUGGGGAGUACGGCC